GAGACGUUAGUAAAACAAUUACAUAGCUUUGUCAAAGCUAAAUUGCAGGUGAAACUCCCGCACAUCUCU
This 69-nucleotide transfer RNA is filed under the name Carpodacus rubicilloides. Its description in RNAcentral is "tRNA-Asp". It matches the Rfam family "tRNA". From Rfam's summary of the family: Transfer RNA (tRNA) molecules are approximately 80 nucleotides in length. Their secondary structure includes four short double-helical elements and three loops (D, anti-codon, and T loops). Lineage: Eukaryota; Metazoa; Chordata; Aves; Passeriformes; Fringillidae. The record is from RNAcentral.